RNAcentral lists this ribosomal RNA (253 nucleotides) under uncultured bacterium. RNAcentral describes it as "partial 16S ribosomal RNA". It matches the Rfam family "Bacterial small subunit ribosomal RNA", at positions 524 to 776 of the family's 1533-position model. The record is from RNAcentral.
UACAGAGGUGGCAAGCGUUGUUCGGAAUUACUGGGCGUAAAGGGUUUGUAGGUGGCUUGUUAAGUCAGACGUGAAAUCCCUCAGCUUAACUGGGGAACUGCGUCUGAUACUGGCGAGCUUGAGUGCAGGAGAGGAACGCGGAAUUCCAGGUGUAGCGGUGAAAUGCGUAGAUAUCUGGAGGAACACCGGUGGCGAAGGCGGCGUUCUGGACUGCAACUGACACUGAGAAACGAAAGCCAGGGUAGCAAACGGG